AUUCUGUUUGAUGGCAGUUAGGAACACUGGCUGAUUGGAAAACAGGUUGGUUGUGGCACUAGCUGGGACUGGACUAUUUUUCUGGUUGCUCUGGCUGUGGGUUUCCCUAAGCUAAACAGACUACAAACCUGCUUUAUUUUCCACUAAGAAAAAUUCAAGAAGAGAGAAAGAAAGCUGAUUCCCAGGAAAAUCCUUGUGGCAGCAAAAUCUUAAGCUGGUCUUAAUAUUUAGCUUGGACUCCUUUCCCAGGCCAUCUUUGAUCUGAGAGAGAGAAUUUGAACCAUCCUAAAAGGUUUCCUGGUUCCUGUCUUCAGAAACCAUCAAGAAGAAGGCAAUGAGGAAAGACAAACGUUCACUUUGUGGACAUUUGAGAUUCUCCUCAUUGACAAGUAACUGGGAGGUCCAGAUAUUUUAGGUCUACCAAGGCCAAUCUGUUUGGAGGCAAGAUAUAUACAAAUAAGUGGCCUCUCAAGUUUCAGGUUUCAGCCAAGACUUGAAAGCAAAGUUCUGCAUACCUUGAGAAAAGUGUUUGCCAGAUUUCCAGCCCACUUUCAAGGUACUUAUGGAGUCCAAAACAAAAUGCAUCAGAAUAUUUUUUUAAGUCUGUGGGUACACAGAAAAGUAUAAACAUUUGAAGCCUCAAGCCUAAGUGAUAAAGAAGAUAACUGUGAGCUGGAGUUUCUUGUUUUGCUGAGAAAGAGCGCCUGGAGAAUUCCUUCUCAAAUAGUAUAUGUUAAGUGAGAAGCAGCAUGAUAUAUCGAGAAUUGGGAGUGGGUAUCCUCACUGGAUCUGAAGUCAGAAAAUUGGGAUUCAUUUGGGGACUUUGCCGUUCCCUACCUGUGUGAUGUUGGGUGAAUCAGUUCAUUUUUCUGGGUCACAACUUUCUUAGCUGCUGAAUGAUGGAACGGAAGGACCACCAAGAUCAUCUCUAAACCUAUGAUCCUCUAAGCGGAAAGAAAGAGAGAACAGUUCUAAAUCCAAUUUCACCACUAAUCAACUGUAUAUCUGUGGGCAAGAACUGGACCUCCAUUGGAUCACUCUUUUCUUAUGUGUUUAUUGAAAUUACUAAACUUAGUAACAUCUAAUGCCUCUUUAAGCUCUCCUUAUAUUUGACAUUCUAGACAGUCUUUGUCCUAAAGCAAGUUAAACACACCACCUUUAAGUACAUCAAAGAAUUGCCAUCUACAUUGGUAGAAAUAGCACCAACAUGGUUAAAACUGUCUAUCUUUUGAAGAAGUUUAUAUCAUUUAUCAAUAUAAAGACAUGU
RNAcentral lists this long non-coding RNA (1267 nucleotides) under Monodelphis domestica (gray short-tailed opossum). Its description in RNAcentral is "lncRNA (ENSMODG00000041710.1)". Lineage: Eukaryota; Metazoa; Chordata; Mammalia; Didelphimorphia; Didelphidae. The record is from RNAcentral.